Molecule: long non-coding RNA, 1174 nt
Organism: Raphanus sativus (radish)
Lineage: Eukaryota; Viridiplantae; Streptophyta; Magnoliopsida; Brassicales; Brassicaceae
Exons: 5
Source: RefSeq, a predicted model, not a curated record
GCUCUACUGGACUUCAAUCGCAUUUCACGUCUGGGCUUUAUAAAACAUAUCGCAGUUUUCGUCUGGGCUUCAGGCUUAUUUGGGCUUCAUUUGUAAUUCCAUUACAUUUUUCAUUUCUUGUCUUUCCUGAAAUCUAAAAAAAAAAAAAAAAUCGACUACGGGAGGAUCUUCUCCUCUAUCUCUUCGUCUUCUCCGCUUGAUACCCUAGAGACUGAGCUCUGAUCGAUCCAACCUACACAAACGAAACUCCUCUUUUAUUUCAUCAAUAAAUUUCGGCUUUAUGUUUUCGUUUCAUCUCCCUAUGAUCCUCCUUCUUUAUAUAUUGAUCCUCUUAUCUUUGUACAAACACAAACCCUAGAAACUGCUCAAAUCUCAACCAUGGCGACGAAACCGAAUGGAAAGUCCCCUAUCUCAUCCGCCUCUGAUGAAAAAGUGAUGUUUUUCAGAGAUAUCUCUCUGGCUCCUCAUGAAGCUCAGCUGCGGUUCCGUCUGAUCUGUAAUUUCCCUCAGAAUUUCUAUGUUGGUAAAUGGACAUACUCUCACCGAGCGUCCCGUCCUUGACGAAGUGGAGAUAGCAGCUGUGAGACAUCUUCUGGUUCAUGUGCAAUUACAUGAUUGCCUGUGAUGAAGCUUUACCUUUGGGUUGCAACAGACUUCUGCAGAAAAUCAUAGUACCCUGUAAAGUUAUUUGUUGAUGACAACAGUGACCAAGCUGUUUUUGUACUACUUGGUGAUGAUGGUCGUGCACUUACUGGGAAGCAUGCAUCGGAAUUAGUUAGCAGCUACUUUGAGGCUAAUGACAACCAAGGAGUUGACCAAGAGGUUCCUGUCCCGGAAGCUCUAACCAACACAAUCGGACAAAGACAUAAGUUUUGUGUGAAAGUGACAGAGCAAACCUUAUCAGGCAAGACCCGAGCUAUAACUGUGACCAAUAUCCUCCCUCUAGACACUCCACCCGUAACAGGAACCUCGGCAGGAAACCACAUUGCUACCACAUGUUCUUUCUAGCCAUUUUAGUUUAAGUUUCCUGUGUAACUUGGCAAGUUUUUGAGCUUUUGUGCUCUUACUAGCUACCUGCUUACCUAUAUAUCGUUACAAUUGUGUAAAAACAUUUGUUCUUAUGAGCCUUUCUAAGGUUGUACGUAUAAUAAAUUGUCAAGAUACGUUAGAUAAA